Long non-coding RNA from Neofelis nebulosa (Clouded leopard), 1064 nucleotides. RefSeq lists it as uncharacterized. Lineage: Eukaryota; Metazoa; Chordata; Mammalia; Carnivora; Felidae. The record is from RefSeq and is a predicted model, not a curated record. The transcript has 4 exons.
CUGGAAGGCUGAGGAUUCACUGGGUGUGGCCAAGGUGCUCUCAAGCACUAAAGAGCUGUUCUAGUUAAUACAGAGUAUAGGGAAAUACAGUCAGUGCUGUGUAAUUUUAAUUAAACCCGUUAAAUCUAGCACCAGCAUAGACUGUAAGUGCCGGCUUCCAAAAGUAACAAAAUGUAUCGGUUAAUGUCUAAAGCCUUGCCUCUUCGUGGGCCUGCGCUGGAAAGGCAAAUGAGCCAAACAUCCAGAAACAGAGUCAACAGGAUGAGGCACUGGAGUUCUGGUGGUCUUUGAUCCCAUCCAUAUUCGAAAGGACCAAAAAAAAUAUGCUGCAAUGAAUGUUCUUGUCUAAAAUCCUUGUCUGCAAUUCCGAAGCCCGAACAGCUUUAAAAAAUGCAAGUCUCUUCAAAUUUUUGGCACGCUCAUUUGGCAGCUAAACUAUAGCUUGAACCAAUGUAAACUCAUUUAUGAAUCACUAACAACAACAACAACAAAUGUGGUUCUUAAACAUCAAGAGUCUCUGGGGCUUUUCUUUCCCACUACAAACCCUCUAUAAAACUUCCCAGAAUUCCUGUCCUUGAAGCAGGAGUCAAACUGGAUAGCAAGGAAUAACCCCCAGGAAGACUGAGAUGGGCCCUCUCUAAUCCAGUAUUCUACCGUCCAUCAUCAACAGACCCUUGUCUGUUAUUUCAUAGCGAUAAAAAACAUGAUUUAUCAGAUAAUGGAAAGAACUCAGAUUUUCAGGUGCCAGGAAUCGUAUCGCACAAAGUGAUUUUGAAGGUGGCAGUAACAGCAGAAAGAACCUCCGUAAAUUCUGGCUUGGUACUCCCAACACCAUUCCACAGUAAGAGAGUGAAACCAAGGAGCGCCUGGGCGGCUCAGGCAGUUAAACGUCCGAUUCUUGAUUUCGGCUCAGGUCAUGAUCUCGCGCCUGGUGGGAUCGCCCCGUGUCAGGCUCCUUGCUGACAGCAUGAAGCCCGCUUGGGAUUCUCUCUCCCUCUCUCUGCCACUCCCCCACUCACGCUCUUUCACUCUCUCUCAAAAUAAAUAAAAAACAUUUAAAAAAU